Oncorhynchus mykiss (rainbow trout) is the source of this 588-nucleotide long non-coding RNA. RefSeq lists it as uncharacterized. Lineage: Eukaryota; Metazoa; Chordata; Actinopteri; Salmoniformes; Salmonidae. The record is from RefSeq and is a predicted model, not a curated record.
CCCUAGUGCAGCUGUAAACAAGCGGGCCAAAUCUGCUGGCUACAUGAUAUGACGAUUACGCCGUAGCCUGAAGCAGCCAACUAGUUCUACAUUUCUAGCAACAUUCUAUCAAGCACGAACUGGCUACAUAGAACGUUGAUAUUCAUAAAUAAAUCCAACCCACUUCAAUAGGUCUGAACACAGUCUGUGGGCGAGCAGAAUGUCUAGCUGACGGCCCUCCACGCAGGAGUGUGAUGAUUUGUAACUAUGCAGCACCAAUAUGGCCAUCGGAGUCUGAUGUUUCUGCUUGGCUCUGCCUGAGGACUUGUCCUUCACCAGCCUCAUCCAACCUCAACACAACAUAGCAAUUCUUAAUUACUAUUAUAACACUUGUUUAAGUUUUAACUCAGCCAGAAGAACCAAUGUGGUGAGCUGAAAUAUGGUUCAUUAUUGCCCUUGUUUUCCUGGCAAGCAGAUCAGGUGAUAACAUGUGACAAGAUUAUAAGUGAGAGAUGCCUCUUAAUGUGGUACGUUCAAUGUCUGCAAUCCCCUUUGACUUUAAUUAAAAGGUACUGAGUGUAGGCAACACCGAAGUACAUUCCUCAACUG